UGGGGAAUAUUGCACAAUGGGCGGAAGCCUGAUGCAGCGACGCCGCGUGGGGGAUGAAGGCCUUCGGGUUGUAAACUCCUUUCGACAGGGACGAAGCUUUUGUGACGGUACCUGUAUAAGAAGCACCGGCUAACUACGUGCCAGCAGCCGCGGUAAUACGUAGGGUGCGAGCGUUGUUCGGAAUUACUGGGCGUAAAGAGCUCGUAGGUGGUUUGUCGCGUCGUCUGUGAAAUUCCGGGGCUUAACUCCGGGCGUGCAGGCGAUACGGGCUGACUUGAGUGCUGUAGGGGAGACUGGAAUUCCUGGUGUAGCGGUGAAAUGCGCAGAUAUCAGGAGGAACACCGAUGGCGAAGGCAGGUCUCUGGGCAGUAACUGACGCUGAGGAGCGAAAGCAUGGGUAGCGAACAGG
This 409-nucleotide ribosomal RNA is filed under the name Actinomycetes bacterium. Its description in RNAcentral is "Actinobacteria bacterium partial 16S ribosomal RNA". It matches the Rfam family "Bacterial small subunit ribosomal RNA", at positions 355 to 776 of the family's 1533-position model. The record is from RNAcentral. Lineage: Bacteria; Bacillati; Actinomycetota; Actinomycetes.